CGGCCAGACUCCUACGGGAGGCAGCAGUGGGGAAUAUUGCACAAUGGGCGCAAGCCUGAUGCAGCCAUGCCGCGUGUAUGAAGAAGGCCUUCGGGUUGUAAAGUACUUUCAGCGGGGAGGAAGGGAGUAAAGUUAAUACCUCUGCUCAUUGACGUCACCCGCAGAAGAAGCACCGGCUAACUCCGUGCCAGCAGCCGCGGUAAUACGGAGGGUGCAAGCGUUAAUCGGAAUUACUGGGCGUAAAGCGCACGCAGGCGGUCUGUCAAGUCGGAUGUGAAAUCCCCGGGCUCAACCUGGGAACUGCAUUCGAAACUGGCAGGCUGGAGUCUUGUAGAGGGGGGUAGAAUUCCAGGUGUAGCGGUGAAAUGCGUAGAGAUCUGGAGGAAUACCGGUGGCGAAGGCGGCCCCCUGGACAAAGACUGACGCUCAGGUGCGAAAGCGUGGGGAGCAAACAGGAUUAGAUACCCCGGUACA
RNAcentral lists this ribosomal RNA (474 nucleotides) under uncultured bacterium. RNAcentral describes it as "bacterial SSU rRNA". It matches the Rfam family "Bacterial small subunit ribosomal RNA", at positions 328 to 794 of the family's 1533-position model. The record is from RNAcentral.